AAGAAUAAAUAAUCUAAAGUUAGGAAAUUUAUAAAUUAUAUUAUAAGUUUAAAUACGAAUCUAACUAACAGUGUCGUCCAAAUGCUGUCAGUUGUAGUGGGAUUACAACAUAUAUGGCUAAUAAAUUACCAAAUUCCGGGGAACCCCUAAAGAUUAAAGUACCAAGCCACAUUUGAAAGAAUGUGAGUGGCUGAAGUAAUUACUCAGGUAUGGUAACAAGCUUUAAGAUGAACGAAAGUGAAAUGGGAUAUCGCGGAUCUAAAUCAUCGGUAUCUAAUUUAAAUAAUAAAUUAAUAGUUACAGGUGUAAAAGAGCAACGAGUAGACGGUAAUUGGUGUUUUCUAAAAUCAAGAAAAUGUUUAAGGUAUACUCUAACGGGUCUCGAAAGAGACUAUCUAGUCGGAAUCCCUUCUAAUCAAAAAGCUAAAAGAUUUUUUUCUACUAGUGAUAAUAUAACAUUAACAUUAAAUCCUUAUUUUGUUACAGGUUUUACUGAUGCAGCCCCUAAAGGAGGAAGUUUUACUGUCUCUAUUUAUCCAGAUAGUUCUAUGAAAACUGGUAUUAGAGUAACUGCUGAAUUUAAAAUAGGCUUGAAUGAACGAGAUAGUGAUCUUUUAUUUAAAAUUCAACAAUUUUUUGGAGGAAUAGGUAAAAUAAAUUAUAAUCAUUCUUAUAAUGCAUCAAUAUAUAGAGUAUAUAAAAAAGAUGAUUUGUUAAAUGUUAUUAUUCCACACUUUAUUAAUUAUCCACUAUUGAGUAAAAAAUCAAUUGAUUUUUAUUUAUUUGUUAGAAUACUUCACUUAAUUAAUGAAAAUGCUCAUUUAAAUGAAAACGGUUUACGAGAGAUAGUUAAUAUUUAUGCUUCUUUAAAUAGAGGUAUUUCUAAUUUUGGUUAAAUCUAAAUUUUUUCACAUUCAACCAGUAUUAAGAGAAAAUGUAAAAAUUACAAAUAUCGUUGAUCCUAACUGAAUCGCAGGAUUUGUUAGUGGUGAAGGUAAUUUUGAUGCUGGGAUUCGAAAAGCAACAGAUACUAGAAAAGAAAGAGUAUAUUUAAGAUUUAGAGUUACUCAACACAGUAGAGAUAUUGAUUUAAUGGAAAUACUUAUAAAGUAUUUAGAAGCAGGGAGAAUUGAAUGAGAUAAGAGAAUUGAAAGUUCUGCGGUAAGUAUUGUAGUAGGUAACUUUUUAGAUAUAACAAAUAAGAUAAUUCCUUUCUUUAAUAAUUAUAUCAUAUAUGGUAUCAAAUAUUAUGAUUAUUUAGAUUGAGUAAAAAUUGCCGAAUUAAUAAAAUUAGGCAAAAAUAAAACUCCUGAAGGUAUGGAAGAAAUAAAACUAAUAGAAAUUAGAAUGAAUAAAGGUAGAAAAUAAGAAAAAUUUUAGCAAUUGUACGAUAAAUCCGAUAACCGUGGGUGCCAGAAGACUCGGUAAUACCAGAGACGCGAACGUUAAUCAUCUUGAAUGGGCAUAAAGGGUUUGUAGGCGGCUUAUUUAUUAAUAGGCUAGAAUCUUAGAGAGGUUAAUAAAAUACUUAGAGGAGGGCUGAUAUCCUUAGAUCCUAAGUGGAAUCCUAAUUGCGAAGGCCAUUAACCACUACAGAUUGACGCUGAGAAACGAAGGUUAGGAUAGGAACUAGGAUUAGAGACCCUAUUACCCCUAACUGUAAACGAUGAAUGGAAGAUAUUUACAACUGUAAGUGUCGAAGUGAAUACGAUAACCAUUCCGCCUUGCUAGUAUACUUGCAAAAGUGAAAACAAAAAAAUUAGUCGGU
RNAcentral lists this ribosomal RNA (1768 nucleotides) under Cantharellus subfloridulus. Its description in RNAcentral is "partial small subunit ribosomal RNA". The stretch from base 1333 to 1768 matches the Rfam family "Bacterial small subunit ribosomal RNA", at positions 1 to 917 of the family's 1533-position model. Lineage: Eukaryota; Fungi; Basidiomycota; Agaricomycetes; Cantharellales; Hydnaceae. The record is from RNAcentral.